Molecule: long non-coding RNA, 209 nt
Organism: Ixodes scapularis (black-legged tick)
Lineage: Eukaryota; Metazoa; Arthropoda; Arachnida; Ixodida; Ixodidae
Exons: 3
Source: RefSeq, a predicted model, not a curated record
GCUGGCUAACUACGGGACUGGAGGGCAUUUCCUGACGCACCCUGAUUACCUUGGCGAUUUGUUCGACAACGCCACCGAUCCGAGUGAAUUUGAGCUUCAUAAAAAAGUAGGAGAUCGAGUGGCCACGCUCAUGAUCUACAUGAGUGACGUCGAAGAGGGCGGGGCCACAGUCUUUCCAUACCUCGGAGUAAAGCUGACCCCCAAAAAAG